Molecule: ribosomal RNA, 253 nt
Filed under: uncultured bacterium
Lineage: Bacteria
Description: partial 16S ribosomal RNA
Rfam family: Bacterial small subunit ribosomal RNA
Source: RNAcentral
UACAGAGGUCUCAAGCGUUGUUCGGAUUCAUUGGGCGUAAAGGGUGCGUAGGCGGCGCGGUAAGUCGGGUGUGAAAUCUCGGAGCUUAACUCCGAAACUGCAUUCGAUACUGCCGUGCUUGAGGACUGGAGAGGAGACUUGAAUUUACGGUGUAGCGGUGAAAUGCGUAGAUAUCGUAAGGAAGACCAGUGGCGAAGGCGGGUCUCUGGACAGUUCCUGACGCUGAGGCACGAAGGUCAGGGGAGCAAACGGG